Molecule: unclassified non-coding RNA, 1386 nt
Filed under: Chelonus insularis
Lineage: Eukaryota; Metazoa; Arthropoda; Insecta; Hymenoptera; Braconidae
Description: nuclear distribution protein nudE-like 1-B, transcript variant X6
Source: RNAcentral
AAAGACGUGUCGAAUUUGACCCUCGUAAAUGUCAGUUUUAUCCGUUUUAUCAGAGUUCAAAGUGGCUUUCACAUUCGCCAUUUUGUAGUCUCCUUGCAUAUAAAUUAUUUUUUAGUCAUUAAAGUAAUCAAUUAGGCUUCAAAACAUCCACAGCUGUUAUAACGGAGCAUGAAAAAAAUAAAUUGGAUAAAAUUUUAUUAAUGUAAUUACUCACAAAUCCAAUCAUCAGUAUUGGAAAAAAAAUUAAAGAUAUUUUGUUAUUUUAAUAAUAAUAAAAGUUUUAUUUGAAUAAAUUAUCAAUAUGAUGGAGGUGGAGGUACCCGAGUUUUCAUCAAAAGAUGAUGAGAUUCAGUAUUGGAUGGAGUUGGCACAACAAAUGUAUAAUAGAAAAGAAGAUGUGGAGCAUGAAUUUGAAGAGUUUCAAGAAAGUUCACAAAUGUUAGAAAAAGAAUUAGAAACAUCAUUAGAACAGUCAGAAAAGACAAUCAGAGAACUACGACAAAGGAACUCCAGACUUGCUACAGAAAUUGAGCAAUUAAGAUCCCGUUUAGAUCAACAAGCAUCUGAUUGUUCUGUAUUUCAGACACGUGCUUCUGAGCUUGAAGCACAACAUGAACAACUUUUAAAAUACAUUCGUGAAUUAGAGCAAAAAAAUGACGACUUGGAAAGAGCUCAUAGAAUAAAUCUUGCCUCAGAGGAAGCGAUUGAAGCUAAAUUUCAUUCAGCUAUCGAAAAAAAUGCUUUACUCGAAUCAGAACUUGAUGAAAAAGAAAACCUAAAGGUAUUAGUUCAAAGACUGAUGGACGAAAAUAGAGAUCUUAAACAAGAAAUUAAACACUUGAAAAGACAUAUGACAGAUAAUGAAAAAUCAUCUGAUAAGAUUCGAAACGUGGUGGACAGUAAUAAGCUGCAAGUGGAACUUGAAUCGACUACACCAGUCAUAACACCAUUAUCUCCUCAAAAUAUAUCUACUCAUCCGACUUCACCACCAUUUAAACUUACAAAUGGGGUCAUAAACAACAACAACAAUAACAACAUGAAUAUGCCAAUGUCACCGUCAGCAAAGAUCCAAGCAAUGAACUUGAUUGGCGAUUUAAUGAGAAAAGUCGGACUCGACAGGUGGGUCUGCAUGGAUUGUAGGAGGGUCAAGUGCUCUUGUCAAAGUGAGAAUAAAUCAGAUCUCGCGAAGCCAAAUCCAGUCAAAACAGCAAUUCAAUGUAUUAGUCAACAACCCAAGCCAACCAAGUGCUGAUUCUAUCCUGAUACCUCUUGUUGCACUACUGGCUUUACAUCUUGUUUGAAAAGCAGGUUUUAUGCGGUGGAAAAGAAAUUAAAUACCUGCAGAAACGCAUCGCGAGAGGAUCAAGCAAUGAGAGAUUUGUACAG